CAAUAGCGUAUAUUAAAGUUGUUGCGGUUAAAAAGCUCGUAGUUGGAUCUCGGCAGGCAGGGGGUGGUUCGCUCUUAGCGCUACUGCCCCAUUUGCCUGUGUGAUUGGCGGAGGUUUCGGGGUGCUCUUCGUUGAGUGACCCGGGGCGCCGUCAGGUUUACUUUGAAAAAAUUAGAGUGCUCAAAGCAGGCUUUUCACGCUUGAAUAUUCGUGCAUGGAAUAAUGGAAUAGGAACUCGUUUCUAUUUUGUUGGUUUUCGGAAAUCGACGUAAUGAUUAACAGGGACAGUCGGGGGCAUUAGUAUUCAGACGACAGAGGUGAAAUUCUUGGACCGUCUGAAGACUAACUACUGCGAAAGCAUUUGCCAAGAAUGUUUUCAUUAA
RNAcentral lists this ribosomal RNA (383 nucleotides) under uncultured eukaryote. RNAcentral's name for it is "partial 18S ribosomal RNA". It matches the Rfam family "Eukaryotic small subunit ribosomal RNA", at positions 592 to 976 of the family's 1831-position model. The record is from RNAcentral.